RNAcentral lists this ribosomal RNA (275 nucleotides) under uncultured bacterium. Its description in RNAcentral is "partial 16S ribosomal RNA". It matches the Rfam family "Bacterial small subunit ribosomal RNA", at positions 338 to 605 of the family's 1533-position model. The record is from RNAcentral.
CCUACGGGGGGCUGCAGUCGAGAAUCAUUCGCAAUGGGCGAAAGCCUGACGAUGCGACGCCGUGUGAGCGAAGAAGGCCUUCGGGUUGUAAAGCUCUUUCGCCUGUGAACAAGAGAGAGUGGCUAAUAUCCACUUAAUUUGAGGGUAGCAGGUAAAGAAGCACCGGCUAACUCCGUGCCAGCAGCUGCGGUAAUACGGAGGGUGCAAGCAUUAAUCGGAUUUAUUGGGCGUAAAGGGCGCGUAGGCGGAGAGAAAAGUCAGGUGUGAAAUGCCGG